Molecule: ribosomal RNA, 380 nt
Filed under: uncultured eukaryote
Lineage: Eukaryota
Description: partial 18S ribosomal RNA
Rfam family: Eukaryotic small subunit ribosomal RNA
Source: RNAcentral
CAAUAGCGUAUAUUAAAGUUGUUGCGGUUAAAAAGCUCGUAGUUGGAUUUCUGCUGAGGACGACCGGUCCGCCUCCUGGGUGAGUAUCUGGCUUGGCCUUGGCAUCUUCUUGGAGAACGCUACUGCACUUAACUGUGUGGUGCGGUAACCAGGACUUUUACUUUGAGGAAAUUAGAGUGUUUCAAGCAGGCGUGCGCCUUGAAUACAUUAGCAUGGAAUAAUAAGAUAGGACCUUAGUUCUAUUUUGUUGGUUUCUAGAGCUGGGGUAAAGAUUAAUAGGGAUAGUUGGGGGCAUUCGUAUUUAACUGUCAGAGGUGAAAUUCUUGGAUUUGUUAAAGACGGGCUACUGCGAAAGCAUUUGCCAAGGAUGUUUUCAUUGA